Molecule: non-coding RNA, 24 nt
Filed under: Arabidopsis thaliana (thale cress)
Lineage: Eukaryota; Viridiplantae; Streptophyta; Magnoliopsida; Brassicales; Brassicaceae
Source: RNAcentral
AUUAGCUUUCAGCGAUUGCCUGUG